AAUUUAAGUGAUUAGAUAUACCGCCCCAGUCUGAAGUUUUUAUGACUGAUUGGUACUUCUCUGAUAAACA
This is a small nucleolar RNA of Myxocyprinus asiaticus (Chinese sucker), 70 nucleotides long. Lineage: Eukaryota; Metazoa; Chordata; Actinopteri; Cypriniformes; Catostomidae. The record is from RefSeq and is a predicted model, not a curated record.